UACGUAGGAUCCAAGCGUUGUCCGGAUUUACUGGGUGUAAAGGGUGCGCAGGCGGGCUGGUAAGUCUGGGGUGAAAUCUCGCCGCUCAACGGCGAAACUGCCUUAGAUACUAUUAGUCUUGAAUAAGCGAGAGAUCCGUGGAAUUCCGAGUGUAGCAGUGAAAUGUGUAGAUAUUCGGAAGAACACCAGCGGCGAAGGCAGCGGGUUGGCGCUUUAUUGACGCUCAGGCACGAAAGCAUGGGGAUCAAACAGG
Molecule: ribosomal RNA, 253 nt
Filed under: uncultured bacterium
Lineage: Bacteria
Description: partial 16S ribosomal RNA
Rfam family: Bacterial small subunit ribosomal RNA
Source: RNAcentral